Manis javanica (Malayan pangolin) is the source of this 1520-nucleotide long non-coding RNA. RefSeq lists it as uncharacterized. NCBI's taxonomy places the organism in Eukaryota, Metazoa, Chordata, Mammalia, Pholidota, Manidae. The record is from RefSeq and is a predicted model, not a curated record.
AUCUGCUCUCCUGUUUUCCAGCAGGAGGGAAAUGGAGGAAUUAAGUGCAGACACAGUAGGCCGCCAGGCGUUUGGCCUCGAGGCUCACACCAAGAAGUAAGGGGGCCUUCUACCCUUCCAGCCUGGACAUUUUCACCUGAAGUACAAGGAGAGAUAAUCAAGGAUAUCUUGCUUUAUCCCCCAGCCUCAUUCCCAGGAGUCAGGUAAAGUCUUCCUUAAGGCCUGCCUGGUCCCAGAUGGUGAGAAUCACCUGAUUAGUGCCUGCUUGGGAUGCAUCAUUGAUGUUUUUGUUAAGAGUAACUUAAUUUACUUCUGCAACCCAUUUUUAUUGAGUGCCUGCAAUGUGUCAGGUUCCAUGGAUCCUGAUCCAGUUGUGCUUAUGGUGUAGUGGUAAUAGGAGAUGACAUUUUUAAGCACUCCCUGUAAGCCAGGCACCAGGCUAAGCACUUCACAUGCAUUAACUUGAUGGAUUCACUCUCACUUGAUUCCACAGCCCUCCUGUGGGAUGAGUGCAUUAUUCUUCCAUUUAUGGAUGGGAAGUAUGAGGCCUAUAAAUGUUCAGUAACUGGCUCAGGACUGGUGUAAGAGUCAGGUUGGCAGUUAUGCUGAGGUAACACCCUCAAAACCUAAGUGGCUUAAAACAACAAGGAUUUAUUUUUCACUUACACUGCAUGUCCAUCAUGCAUGACAGAUCUCUGCUCUACACUGUUGUCACUUUGAGACCAGGCUGCAAAACUCACACUGGCUUUACAGAUAUCACGUCCCAGGCCAGAACAAGUCAUGUGGCCACAGCCAGUGUGUCGUGUGGGGAGGUCUAAUCCUACUGCACAGGAUAAAAGAUCUGGAAAUGUUUGGAAAUAGCACCAGUGACUACCCCAGCCAGGAGAUGGGAACCAGGAAUUGGACCCAGGCACCACUGGGGAGAGAAGUUUACAAAGCACAUACCAGACGAGACAGCAGGAGCCAGGCGCUGCACAUCACCGCCUCUCGCUGGGGCUGUGCAGCUGCCACCAGGAGGCCCAGAAUUCCUUGCGGAGCUUCUUGGCUACAAGAAACUUACAAGGUCUUCUAAUGUUGACCACUGGAGGAUCCUUCAAGUUGGUUCCUGUGUCCUUUUGACACACCCCAUCAUUUUUUUUUGACCCUAUCCUUUCUUGAGCACUUCCUUAUUUUAUGGAACUACAAAAUGUCUUAGGCUCUGUUUUUGUUUCUUUCUGCCCUAACUCUGGAAUCAAGUUUUUCCUUAGGAGCUCUACUUCAAUUGAGUGGAGAAACCAAGAUCAGGGUGCUAGGCGACCAGAUGGAGUUUUAAUCAGCAAAGUAAAUACCAGAGGGAAGAAUAAAAAAUAGACAUUGGUGUUUAGACUCCAUGGUGCCAGAAUUUCUCACAGGCUGCAAUCAAGGUGUGGAUUGGACUGCAGUCAUCUUGAGGAUCAACCGGAGAUAGAUUUGCUUCCAAACUCAUGUUGUUACCAAGAUUUGCAUCCUUGUGGGUUGUUGGACUGGAGGCAUUAGUUCCU